UGGGGAAUAUUGCACAAUGGGCGAAAGCCUGAUGCAGCAACGCCGCGUGAGGGACGACGGCCUUCGGGUUGUAAACCUCUUUAGCAAGGAAGAAGCGAAAGUGACGGUACUUGCAGAAAAAGCGCCGGCUAACUACGUGCCAGCAGCCGCGGUAAUACGUAGGGCGCAAGCGUUAUCCGGAAUUAUUGGGCGUAAAGAGCUCGUAGGCGGUUUGUCGCGUCUGCUGUGAAAACCCGAGGCUCAACCUCGGGCCUGCAGUGGGUACGGGCAGACUAGAGUGCGGUAGGGGAGAUUGGAACUCCUGGUGUAGCGGUGGAAUGCGCAGAUAUCAGGAAGAACACCGAUGGCGAAGGCAGAUCUCUGGGCCGUAACUGACGCUGAGGAGCGAAAGGGUGGGGAGCAAACAGGCUUAGAUACCCUGGUAGUCCACCCGUAACGUUGGGAACUAGUUGUGGGGUCCAUUCCACGGAUUCCGUGACGCAGCUAACGCAUUAAGUUCCCCGCCUGGGGAGUACGGCCGCAAGGCUAAACU
RNAcentral lists this ribosomal RNA (532 nucleotides) under uncultured bacterium. Its description in RNAcentral is "partial 16S ribosomal RNA". It matches the Rfam family "Bacterial small subunit ribosomal RNA", at positions 355 to 901 of the family's 1533-position model. The record is from RNAcentral.